This 136-nucleotide ribosomal RNA is filed under the name uncultured eukaryote. Its description in RNAcentral is "partial 18S ribosomal RNA". It matches the Rfam family "Eukaryotic small subunit ribosomal RNA", at positions 1299 to 1458 of the family's 1831-position model. The record is from RNAcentral.
UGGUGGAGUGAUUUGUCUGGUUAAUUCCGAUAACGAACGAGACCUUAACCUGCUAACUAGAUAUGCUCAUUAUAUGGGUACAAUCUUCUUAGAGGGACUAUCGGUUCGCAGCCGGUGGAAGUUCGAGGCAAUAACA